AUCCCAGAUAAAAGUUUUUGUUUUUAUCUGAUUCAUGGGAGGCAGAUAUAAAUAAUGGCAGUUCGCUGAUAGCAACUUUUGUGUUUAGAAGUAUGCUAAUAGUAGCUCACCAGACACAC
This is a small nucleolar RNA of Rosa rugosa (rugosa rose), 119 nucleotides long. The record is from RefSeq and is a predicted model, not a curated record. Lineage: Eukaryota; Viridiplantae; Streptophyta; Magnoliopsida; Rosales; Rosaceae.